AGAGUUUGAUCCUGGCUCAGAUUGAACGCUGGCGGCACGCCUAACACAUGCAAGUCGAACGGCAGCGGGAGAAAGCUUGCUUUCUUGCCGGCGAGUGGCGGACGGGUGAGUAAUGCGUAGGAAUUUGUCUUAAAGUGUGGGACAACUCGGGGAAACUCGAGCUAAUACCGCAUAAUAUCUUCGGAUUAAAGAGGGGGAUCUUUUAGACCUCUCGCUUUUUGAGGAGCCUACGUUAGAUUAGCUAGUUGGUAGGGUAAAAGCCUACCAAGGCGACGAUCUAUAACUGGUCUGAGAGGAUGAUCAGUCACACUGGAACUGAGACACGGUCCAGACUCCUACGGGAGGCAGCAGUGGGGAAUAUUGGACAAUGGGGGCAACCCUGAUCCAGCGAUGCCGCGUGUGUGAAGAAGGCCUACGGGUUGUAAAGCACUUUUAUUGAGGAGGAAAAGUCAAUGGUUAAUACCCAUUGGCCUUGACGUUACUCAAAGAAUAAGCACCGGCUAACUCUGUGCCAGCAGCCGCGGUAAUACAGAGGGUGCGAGCGUUAAUCGGAUUGACUGGGCGUAAAGGGCGCGUAGGCGGUAUGUAAAGUUAGAUGUGAAAUCUUCGGGCUUAACCUGGAAACUGCAUCUAAUACUCACAUACUAGAGUUCAGCAGAGGUAAGUGGAAUUUCCAGUGUAGCGGUGAAAUGCGUAGAGAUUGGAAGGAACACCAGUGGCGAAGGCGGCUUACUGGGCUGAUACUGACGCUAAAGCGCGAAAGCAUGGGGAGCAAACAGGAUUAGAUACCCUGGUAGUCCAUGCCGUAAACGAUGAGAACUAGCUGUUGGAACUCUUAUAGAUUCAGUAGCGCAGCUAACGCAAUAAGUUCUCCGCCUGGGGAGUACGGUCGCAAGACUAAAACUCAAAGGAAUUGACGGGGGCCCGCACAAGCGGUGGAGCAUGUGGUUUAAUUCGAUGCAACGCGAAAAACCUUACCUACCCUUGACUUCCUCGGAACCUCAAAGAGAUUUGAGGGUGCCCGAAAGGGAACCAAGUGACAGGUGCUGCAUGGCUGUCGUCAGCUCGUGUCGUGAGAUGUUGGGUUAAGUCCCGUAACGAGCGCAACCCCUGUUCUUAGUUACCAUCUAGUUAAGUAGGGGACUCUAAGAAUACUGCCGAUGAUAAAUCGGAGGAAGGUGGGGACGACGUCAAGUCAUCAUGGCCUUUAUGGGUAGGGCUACACACGUGCUACAAUGGGAAGUACAAAGGGUUGCUAACCCGCGAGGGCACGCCAAUCUCAAAAAGCUUUCCGUAAUUCGGAUUGGAGUCUGAAACUCGACUCCAUGAAACUGAAAUCGCUAGUAAUCGUGAAUCAGCAUGUCACGGUGAAUACGUUCUCGGGCCUUGUACACACCGCCCGUCACACCAUGGGAGUGGGUUGUACCAGAAGCAAGUAGACUAACCUUUUAGGAGGUCGCUUACCACGGUAUGAUUCAUGACUAGGGUGAAGUCGUAACAAGGUA
RNAcentral lists this ribosomal RNA (1505 nucleotides) under metagenome. RNAcentral's name for it is "bacterial SSU rRNA". It matches the Rfam family "Bacterial small subunit ribosomal RNA". The record is from RNAcentral.